Molecule: ribosomal RNA, 254 nt
Filed under: uncultured bacterium
Lineage: Bacteria
Description: partial 16S ribosomal RNA
Rfam family: Bacterial small subunit ribosomal RNA
Source: RNAcentral
UACAGAGGUCUCAAGCGUUGUUCGGAUUCAUUGGGCGUAAAGAGCUCGUAGGCGGUUCGAUAAGUCGGGUGUGAAACCUCCAGGCUCAACCUGGAGACGCCACCCGAUACUGUCGUGACUAGAGUCCAGUAGGGGAGCGUGGAAUUCCUGGUGUAGCGGUGAAAUGCGCAGAUAUCAGGAGGAACACCAGCGGCGAAGGCGGCGCUCUGGGCUGGAACUGACGCUGAGGAGCGAAAGCGUGGGGAGCGAACAGG